CAGUCGCCACGGUAAUACGGAGGGGGCUAGCGUUGUUCGGAAUUACUGGGCGUAAAGCGCACGUAGGCGGCUUGGUAAGUUAGAGGUGAAAGCCUGGAGCUCAACUCCAGAAUUGCCUUUAAGACUGCCGAGCUAGCAGGUGAGAGAGGUAAGUGGAAUUCCGAGUGUAGAGGUGAAAUUCGUAGAUAUUCGGAAGAACACCAGUGGCGAAGGCGGCUUACUGGCUCAUACUGGACGCUGAGGUGCGAAAGCGUGGGGAGCAAACAGGAUUAGAUACCCCUGUAGUCCCUGUCUCUUAUAC
Molecule: ribosomal RNA, 301 nt
Filed under: uncultured bacterium
Lineage: Bacteria
Description: partial 16S ribosomal RNA
Rfam family: Bacterial small subunit ribosomal RNA
Source: RNAcentral